Molecule: transfer RNA, 67 nt
Filed under: Erotylidae sp. BMNH 1274780
Lineage: Eukaryota; Metazoa; Arthropoda; Insecta; Coleoptera; Erotylidae
Description: tRNA-Ser
Source: RNAcentral
GAAUUAGGUUAAUCAAGAUUAAGCUUCUAACUUAAAUCUUUAACAGUGAGACUCUGUUAAUAAUUCU